This 473-nucleotide ribosomal RNA is filed under the name Pterodrilus alcicornus. RNAcentral describes it as "partial 16S ribosomal RNA". It matches the Rfam family "Bacterial large subunit ribosomal RNA", at positions 1831 to 2597 of the family's 2925-position model. Lineage: Eukaryota; Metazoa; Annelida; Clitellata; Branchiobdellida; Branchiobdellidae. The record is from RNAcentral.
UUUCUAGUGCUAUAAUACUAGAUAAGCCCUGCCCUACGUAAUUAAGUGGCCGCGGUAUAUUAACCGUGCUAAGGUAGCAUAAUCAAUUGUUUAUUAAUUGUAAAAUUGAAUGAAUGGGUAAACAAAAUAAAGACUGUCUCCUAUAGGUUUAUAAAAACUAUCCUCUUUAUGAAGAGAUAAAGAUACAAUUAAAGGACAAGAAGACCCUAUAGAGCUUUUAUAUAACCUUAUUUAAUAAGCUAAAGUUUGGUUGGGGCGACCUAAGAUAAAACAAAACAUCUUUACUUUUAUAAGAGCUACUACUCUACAAAAUGAUCCAUAAUUGACCAGUGAUUUAAGUUACCUUAGGGAUAACAGGCUGAUUAUUUUUAAGAGUUCUUAUCUAAAAAAUAGAUUGGCACCUCGAUGUUGGCUUAGGAAUACUAAUACUCGCAAGAGAGUAUAUAGCUGGUUUGUUCAACCAUUAAUAUCCU